GACGAACGCUGGCGGCGUGCUUAACACAUGCAAGUCGAACGAUGAAGCGGUGCUUGCACCGUGGAUUAGUGGCGAACGGGUGAGUAAUACGUGAGUGACCUACCUUUGACUCUGGGAUAAGCCUGGGAAACUGGGUCUAAUACCGGAUACGACCAAUCUCUGCAUGGGGUGUUGGUGGAAAGCGUUAUGGAGUGGUUUUAGAUGGGCUCACGGCCUAUCAGCUUGUUGGGGAGGUAAUGGCUUACCAAGGCGACGACGGGUAGCCGGCCUGAGAGGGUGAACCGCCCCCCGUGGGCUGGAGAGCCGCCCCAGCCCCCUGGGGGGGGCAGCAGGGGGGAAUAUUGAAAAGGGGCCCAGGCCCGGUGCCGGCGCCCCCGGGGGGGGAAGACCGGCUUGGGGGUGGAACCCCUUUUUUACCAUCAAAAAACAAAAGGGGAGGGUGGGUAAAGGGAGGCCGCGGACAACCUACGUC
Molecule: ribosomal RNA, 472 nt
Filed under: uncultured bacterium
Lineage: Bacteria
Description: partial 16S ribosomal RNA
Rfam family: Bacterial small subunit ribosomal RNA
Source: RNAcentral